RNAcentral lists this long non-coding RNA (205 nucleotides) under Elaeis guineensis (African oil palm). Its description in RNAcentral is "long non-coding RNA (EGUI_LNC034807)". Lineage: Eukaryota; Viridiplantae; Streptophyta; Magnoliopsida; Arecales; Arecaceae. The record is from RNAcentral.
CCAAGCCAGUACUUGACUAUGUCCUUAAGUGAAGAAGGGGAAUAGGAUCAGUCUAAGUAUAUCAUCAAUAAAAUUUUGAAUCUUCACCAUGGAAUAAAUUUUUAAAAACUCAUUUAGAUGCUUGUAAGGAUCUUCAUUGGUGUUUCUAUAGAAAGAUGGGAGCAUCUGGAUUGUGGUCGAUUUGAUCUUAUAAUGACUUGUAGGA